Hippopotamus amphibius kiboko is the source of this 3555-nucleotide long non-coding RNA. RefSeq lists it as uncharacterized. NCBI's taxonomy places the organism in Eukaryota, Metazoa, Chordata, Mammalia, Artiodactyla, Hippopotamidae. The transcript is spliced from 2 exons. The record is from RefSeq and is a predicted model, not a curated record.
CCGUGCGACUGCAGCCUGUGACACUGGAAGAGACCGUAGCUGGAGAGGAGGGGAUGCGCUGUGUGUCGCGUGCUCACAGGAUGUAGCCUCACCUGCUUACCCUUGUUUCCCCCCGUCUGACCCAGGUUAAAAAGGGGUUUCCUUUUUGUUACCUUGUAACCUUUUAAGAUACCUUGGGGCUAGAGAUGACUUUGUGGGUUUAUUUGGGUUUCGUGUCUGAAGUGUGGUUGCGCCAGAUUUGCUGUUUAUAACGAUGUCUGUCAUCGCCCUACCCACCCUCCCCAUCCCUGCCCUGCUCUCACUUCCCUUCCAUUAAAGCAGCACCCACAGACCCAGCAAAGGGUCCUGUCAGAGCAGAGUGCCCCGGUGCCGGAGAGGAGGUAGCCUCCUCCGCCCUGCUGCGUUUGCUCUUGUCUAGACGAACGGGUAAUUUCAUGGAGUGUUGUGCACAGCUCCCUCCACCUCCUCAGCCUCGGCUCCCAGUGAAAUGUUACACGAUUCCGCCACCUAAAUGCUGUCCCUCCCGAAGGAACACUCCAGGUCAACAUCGGGCAUCUCAGACCAGAAUCAGAGGUCUCAGAGGGGGGUGGGUUCAUCCUCAUGGGAUGGUAAGGGGUGGGGGGCUGCUGGGCUCUCGGACAGCUGGUUCUCAGAGAACCCCGUGGUCAUCACCCGAGCCCCUGGGCGCUCUCGGCCCCUGGAGUUCGGACGUCUUCUCUCCAAAGCCUGUCUCCCACCGCGUCAAGGGGAACUAGAAAGCACCUCUGGCUAACACAGGACCCUCGUGCUUCAGUGGGUAUUUCCCCUUGGGAGAGCCCCAGAAACGCUGACGCGCGUCACGUGAAGUCUUGUGCCCUUCAUCUGUUUGCUUCCUCCUGACCUUCUCCCAGGCACUUGCAUUUGUAGGUGAGCUUUUCGUUGGGGGCAGAUCUCCACGUGCCUGGGGUGCUCCUUGCAGAGAUACCUCUUCAAGCCCCAGGGCUGCCAUGUAGGUAAUCUGACUCCCUGUGCCUGUGGUUUGUCACCUGGAUGGUUGUGGCCAGCAGGGCGUGGUGCCCCCACCUCGGAGUGUGGCACCCAGGCCUGAGGUUGCUUCUGAGCCGCUUGAGGAUCUGACCCGGGAAAUCCAAUUUGGAGGCUUGAUGUGAGAUUCGACCUGGCCUCAACCUUGGAGCUGUUUUUUCUUGAUGGCCCUCUAGACUUUGUGCAGAUCUGCCACCCACAAGCCUCCUCAGGAGUGGCAUCCUGCAGCUUCCUUCAGGAUCUCUACCCACCUUCUGAGCCUGCUCCCCAGGCCUCAGAAUUGUGUCCUUCUGCGAUGCCAUCAGAGCAGUCUGGUCUGGCAAGAAGAGAAAACAGCCCUGUGCUGGGGGAGGUACAUUCCUGCGUCUUCUCACCUCCUCACCAGGAACUGGGGACUUGGGAUGAGAUAUGGUAAAACUUGUAGAUAACUCCGCAAAUGGGAAGAAAGUUUGUGGAACCGUUUUGAAUGAAUGGAUUGGUUUCCUUGGCUCCCUUCAAACCUGGCCAAGCUCAGCUUCUGGAGCAGGAAUGAGCACCAGCUCUGUGCCCGACCCACAGCAUUUAGGUCAGGGAGGAAUGGAGACCGCAUUCUUGGACUCUACUGGGGCUGUCGGAACCUUUCUGGAAGAGGCAAACGGGCCAAACAACUGCCCUGGCCCCAGGAAGGGGCUGUAGGUAGCUCUGAAUGUCAGCAGCAAGACCACGGAGUGACUUGGGGAAGAACUAGGUAGCUCACGGAGAAGACAAAUUUGACUUCGGAAGGGAUUAGUAGGAAUAAUGUUUGGACUUGAUUUCCCCACCUCCUCCUAAUCAAGAAUGAAAAUUUGGAUCUGCUCCUAGUUGGGCCCAGCAUCUCCCAAGCUUGGCAGGUUGUCCUCUCGUAGCCUCCACAGCCUUGGGCUCCCUCCGGCUUCCUACAUUUGGUCUGCUGAUCAUGUCGCCAUAAUGUGUACGAAAAUUGUAACCAAUUGUUAUAAGUUAAAGUCCCACCAUGCCGUCUCUGGGCAGAAGGUGUCCAAGGGGAAGCGACUACCCUCACCAUCACUCUUUGGAACCAUGAGGAAAAGCUGAGUGGUCUUAUGGUAUCCUGUAAUAAUUUGGGGUCUCCCAAGAACAAAGGCACAAGAAUAAGACAUGGCUGACUGGGUGAGGCCUGGAUGGGGACAAGGGCAGAAUUCCUCUCCAUUCUUUCCCUCUACCAUUUAACCAGUCACAGCUUCUCCCAUCCUGCCCCUCUUCUGAAAGUCUACAGCUGAGAAAACUCUAGUCUCCCAGGUCUCCCCACCAAAGCAAGGGGCUCUCUGAAAUCUCCACCUCGACCACUAGAAGAAGGCCUCUGGCCCUUGUUCCUCUUAAUGAACCACUGAGUCUUUGUCCCCCAGUGCAAGUUCCUUCCCUGUGUCCUGCAGUUUGGGGGCGACUGGGCAGGCCAGAGAGCCAGCAGUCCCGGGAGCACAGCCCGAGGCAGUGCUCCAUGUCUCCUUACCUAGCUCAGGGGUGACGGGUCUGUGGCAUGUGCUGCGAGUCGCCCCGUGGCUGCUCUCGGUGGCGCUCCCUCGGUUCCCACCACGGGCAGCUCAUCAUCCCUUCUCCUCUUCCUGCUUCCGUUUCUCUUGCCUGUGGUUUAGGCCUCAAACAGGUUCCCUGGUAGCGCUUAGGGCUUGGGACUGCACACUCUUGCCCUACUGACUUUCCCCUCUUCAUGGCCUGCCAGGGCCUGCCCCAGGGAGGUGGACCAAAGACCCAGGACGUUCCUCAGUAGCCAGUCCCACCCUCCUAAUUGUUUUUUUUACCAGUUCAAGUUGGGAGAGAGAAAAAAUUGUCAGCAGUCCCCAGCAUUUGAGCUACUCAAGUGUUAGGGGCCAGAAGGGACAGUGUUCAAAACAACCCUUAGAAAGCUCUGGCCGUAGACCUGUGGCUCCCCCAGUUCCAGGGAGCUCGCUUUUUUUCUGACAGAAAUGUGGGGAGGGGGCUCCAGCCUGAGCACAGGAAUCAAAGGGAAAACACAUUCAAACGGCCCCCAAAUCUACCAGCCAUCUGCAGGGGGCUCUGUGACACAGCCCUGGCCUUCUUCUGAAAUGUGCCACUUAUGGAGAGUGUCUCCAGAGGGAAGAGGAGCAUCGGCUGUCCCUGGCGAUCCUCUGGAGGCUGGCUGGGGACGAAACUUCCAGAGGAGCCCCUUCCCCUUGCUCAGAGCCGUUUUGGGAGGAAGUGGGAACCACCUUUGGGGGAUGGCCUGGUGCAGCUCAGCACACCCAAGCAUCAGGUCAGGCCAUUGUGAUCAAAAAAUGUGAAUGAAGUUUAGAUUCAGCUUUUGGGGGAGCAGGGUAAACUGCCACCCCACCAUAUGUGUGUGACUUCUCCAUUUCCCACUGCAAUCUCCAUUUUUUUAAAUAGGAAUUUUCAACCCCCUGUGCUUGUCUAAUGUCUGCUCGGAACAAUUCGAGACCCUGUUACUGUUUUAAGAUGCAUGCAUGUUAAGAUGAAUCUCCAACCCGAGGAAAAAAAUAAAACUCAAAAAAGCUUUGUGUA